RNAcentral lists this ribosomal RNA (406 nucleotides) under uncultured bacterium. RNAcentral's name for it is "partial 16S ribosomal RNA". It matches the Rfam family "Bacterial small subunit ribosomal RNA", at positions 30 to 526 of the family's 1533-position model. The record is from RNAcentral.
AUUGAACGCUGGCGGCAGGCCUAACACAUGCAAGUCGAACGAGUGGCGGACGGGUGAGUAAUGUCUGGGAAACUGCCCGAUGGAGGGGGAUAACUACUGGAAACGGUAGCUAAUACCGCAUACCAUCGGAUGUGCCCAGAUGGGAUUAGCUUGUAGGUGGGGUAAUGGCUCACCAAGGCGACGAUCCCUAGCUGGUCUGAGAGGAUGACCAGCAACACUGGAACUGAGACACGGUCCAGACUCCUACGGGAGGCAGCAGUGGAGAAUAUUGCACAAUGGGCGCAAGCCUGAUGCAGCCAUGCCGCGUGUAUGAAGAAGGCCUUCGGGUUGUAAAGUACUUUCAGCGAGGAGGCGUUACCCGCAGAAGAAGCACCGGCUAACUCCGUGCCAGCAGCCGCGGUAAUUC